GACGAACGCUGGCGGCGUGCUUAACACAUGCAAGUCGAACGGAAAGGCCCUGCUUUUGUGGGGUGCUCGAGUGGCGAACGGGUGAGUAACACGUGAGUAACCUGCCCUUGACUUUGGGAUAACUUCAGGAAACUGGGGCUAAUACCGGAUAGGAGCUCCUGCUGCAUGGUGGGGGUUGGAAAGUUUCGGCGGUUGGGGAUGGACUCGCGGCUUAUCAGCUUGUUGGUGGGGUAGUGGCUUACCAAGGCUUUGACGGGUAGCCGGCCUGAGAGGGUGACCGGCCAGAGUGGGGCAGAGGACGGGCCCGGCCGGCGGCGGGGGGCGGGAGGGGGAAAUAUGGAACAGGGGGAGGAAGCGGGAGGCAGAAACGCGGGGGGGGGGAGGGGGUCUUUGGGUUUGUAAACCGCUUCCGCGGGUGACAAAGGGGGGGGGGGGUUAAGGGGUAAAGAAGCACCGGCUAACUACGGG
RNAcentral lists this ribosomal RNA (468 nucleotides) under uncultured bacterium. RNAcentral describes it as "partial 16S ribosomal RNA". It matches the Rfam family "Bacterial small subunit ribosomal RNA", at positions 28 to 507 of the family's 1533-position model. The record is from RNAcentral.